RNA transcript from Selaginella moellendorffii, 1536 nucleotides. It is a transcript of the gene named SNF1-related protein kinase regulatory subunit gamma-like PV42b, with no coding region annotated. NCBI's taxonomy places the organism in Eukaryota, Viridiplantae, Streptophyta, Lycopodiopsida, Selaginellales, Selaginellaceae. The record is from RefSeq and is a predicted model, not a curated record. The transcript has 4 exons.
CUUGUUUGUUUCGAUCUGAGGUGAUCCGGCAUUGAUCGAUCGAUUGAUCUUGUCUUGCUUGGAUAUCGUUGCUAGGGUUUGGAGGAUCGUCCAUGGAGAAGCAGGAGCUCGCUCUGGAGAUUCUACACUCUACCUCCGUCCAGGACCUGGUGAGAGACAAGGGAAGGCUUGUGGAGGUCCCAUACACCGCGACGGUGGGCGACACACUCAAUGUGUUGCUCGCCAAGAACAUCCUGGCCGUGCCAGUGGCGGCGCCGCCCGGGCACUGGAUCGGCGCCGGCGGUUCCAUGGUCGUGGAAUCGGACAAGAGCAGCGGAGUGCCGCGGAAGCAGUACAUUGGAAUGGUGAGCGUGCUCGACAUUCUCAUCCAUGUCGCAGAGCGAGAGGAUGGCAGCUGCGAGAGGCUCCAGACUGCCAUCUCCAAGAUCAUCGGGCAUUCCUUGGAAGGAUUGAGCCUCUGGAGCAUUGCUCCUCACACCUCGUUGGCUGACACUAUGGAGCCCAUGAGCAAGGGAAUUCACCGGGCUCUAGUUCCAGUUUCUAGCGCGAUGGAUCACGUCUCUGGUGUGGAGCUAGUCGAAUCGUCUCCCGGGUAUCAUAUGCUCACUCAAACGGACGUGAUGGCGUUCUUGCUCGUCCACUCGCAGCAGCUGGAGCCUUUGAUGUCGACUGAUAUCGGCAGCCUCGGAGCGGUGAACAAGAACGUUUAUGCCGCUCCCGCGGACAUGAGGGUGAUGGACGCAGUGAGGGCGAUGCGCUUUGCGUUCCUGACGGCGGUGGCGAUCGUUGAUCCAUCGCCGGUGGCGCAGCUUGCAACUCAGCUAGUAGCGGGUGAUGGAAGACGGUUGCUUGGGACAUUCUCGGCCAGUGAUUUGAGAGGCUGCAACUCGGACGUGUUGACAAAGUGGGCCUCGCUAUCAGUCCUCGAGUUUUCGCACAAGGCGUUCCUCGCGAGGCGGUUUGGAUUCGGGGCCGCAUGCAUCGAGGCUGUCGACCAGACAGCAGCAUCGCUCGAUCCUCAGCAAAAGCCGCUUAUCACUUGCCAGCCGUCGGCAUCGCUCAGGGAGGUUAUCUCCAAGGCCCUGGAGAACAGAGUCCAUCAGUUGUGGGUUGUGGACGACGCAGGCUCCCUGCUGGGCAUGGUGGCUUUCACAGACAUACUUAAGGCUGUCCGACAGGCCUCCAAAAGGCAGUGAUCCAACAAACAGAUACACAGGGAAAAAGAAGCGAAGGAAAAGAAUUGGAAGAGGAAAAGGAGUUAUGACAGCAACAACCAAACCGAUCACUUAGUGCUGCUGCUACGUUUUGGUGUUACGGUUUCUCGCCGAGCCUUGAAUGCAAUCUAGCUGGAAGAAAUCGGCCGCGCAUCAACGUAUCUAUCAAGCGGGACUGCUUCGUCGUCUUCUCCUUCGGACACAGUAAGAAAAGUUGUGAAGGUGUUGUUCGUCGUCUCUCAUCCAGAGCCGCUUUUAUGGAACCGGGUUCGUUCUUGUGCUCUUAAAAUCAUCUAUCGAUCAUCGAUCGUAUUUGAUGCAA